This 73-nucleotide transfer RNA is filed under the name Zea mays. It matches the Rfam family "tRNA". From Rfam's summary of the family: Transfer RNA (tRNA) molecules are approximately 80 nucleotides in length. Their secondary structure includes four short double-helical elements and three loops (D, anti-codon, and T loops). The record is from Rfam by way of RNAcentral. Lineage: Eukaryota; Viridiplantae; Streptophyta; Magnoliopsida; Poales; Poaceae.
CCUUGUCUAGCUCAGUUGGUAAAGCGCAAGGCUUUUAACCUUAAGGUUGUGCGUUCGAGCCCCACCGUGAGCG